Molecule: ribosomal RNA, 492 nt
Filed under: uncultured bacterium
Lineage: Bacteria
Description: partial 16S ribosomal RNA
Rfam family: Bacterial small subunit ribosomal RNA
Source: RNAcentral
AGUGAACGCUGGCGGUAGGCCUAACACAUGCAAGUCGAACGGCAGCACAGUAAGAGCUUGCUCUUACGGGUGGCGAGUGGCGGACGGGUGAGGAAUACAUCGGAAUCUACUUUUUCGUGGGGGAUAACGUAGGGAAACUUACGCUAAUACCGCAUACGACCUACGGGUGAAAGCAGGGGAUCUUCGGACCUUGCGCGAUUGAAUGAGCCGAUGUCGGAUUAGCUAGUUGGCGGGGUAAAGGCCCACCAAGGCGACGAUCCGUAGCUGGUCUGAGAGGAUGAUCAGCCACACUGGAACUGAGACACGGUCCAGACUCCUACGGGAGGCAGCAGUGGGGUAAAAUGGACAAUGGGCGCAAGCCUGAUCCAGCCAUACCGCAUGGGUGAAGAAGGACUUCGGUUUGUAAAGCCCUUUUGUUGGGAAAGAAAAGCAGCAGGUUAAUACCCCGCUGUUCUGACGGUACCCAAAGAAUAAGCACCGGCUAACUUCGUG